RNAcentral lists this ribosomal RNA (301 nucleotides) under uncultured bacterium. Its description in RNAcentral is "bacterial SSU rRNA". It matches the Rfam family "Bacterial small subunit ribosomal RNA", at positions 28 to 334 of the family's 1533-position model. The record is from RNAcentral.
GAUGAACGCUAGCGGCGUGCUUAAUGCAUGCAAGUCGAACGAUAAACCCUUCGGGGUCGAAAGUGGCGAACGGGUGAGUAAUGCGUUGGUGACCUGCCUUGUAGUGGGGGACAACCGCUGGAAACGGUGGCUAAUACCCCAGAUGCCAUUGUGUUUGGAAAACAAUGUCUAAAGCUACGGUGCUACAAAGAGGGGCCCAACGUCCCAUCAGCUAGUUGGUGAGGUAACGGCUCACCAAGGCAAAGACGGGUAGGGGGCGUGAGAGCGUGACCCCCCACACUGGUACUGACACACGGACCGA